RNAcentral lists this ribosomal RNA (253 nucleotides) under uncultured bacterium. Its description in RNAcentral is "partial 16S ribosomal RNA". It matches the Rfam family "Bacterial small subunit ribosomal RNA", at positions 524 to 776 of the family's 1533-position model. The record is from RNAcentral.
GACGUAGGGGGCCAGCGUUGUUCGGAAUUACUGGGUGUAAAGGGUUCGUAGGCGGUGUGGCAAGUCGGGAGUGAAAUCUCUGGGCUCAACUCAGAGGCUGCUUUCGAAACUGCCGUGCUAGAGUGCGGGAGAGGCGCGUGGAAUUGCAGGUGUAGCGGUGAAAUGCGUAGAUAUCUGCAGGAACACCCGUGGCGAAAGCGGCGCGCUGGACCGUUACUGACGCUGAGGAACGAAAGCUAGGGGAGCAAACAGG